Molecule: microRNA precursor, 228 nt
Filed under: Sorghum bicolor (sorghum)
Lineage: Eukaryota; Viridiplantae; Streptophyta; Magnoliopsida; Poales; Poaceae
Description: MIR6217 microRNA precursor family
Rfam family: MIR6217 microRNA precursor family
Source: Rfam by way of RNAcentral
UAGCUACAAAAUAACUUAUUCUGCAGCCACUUUGAGUUACGAUAAUUACUAUGUUAAUUUACGAGAUUAUAGUAACUCUAUACUAAGUUGUUUACUAUAACGUUAUGAUAAAUAUCUUUAUGUGUUAUAGUAACUCAACUAUUGUAAAUAUGUAUUGAUAUUAUUGUAAAUUAGUAUAUAAAAUUAUCGUAAAUGGAGGUGGCUACAGAAUAUCUUAUUUUGUAGUUG